Molecule: long non-coding RNA, 529 nt
Filed under: Monodelphis domestica (gray short-tailed opossum)
Lineage: Eukaryota; Metazoa; Chordata; Mammalia; Didelphimorphia; Didelphidae
Description: lncRNA (ENSMODG00000031105.2)
Source: RNAcentral
GGAGAAGCAUAAGAUGGAAAGCUAGAUUUAAGAAACUGCCAUUGGCACAUGCCAAAGAAUUUUGGAGAAAGUAUUCUAGAAGUCAGGGGGUAGAGAAGGAAGGGUUAAAUGAUAGAUAACUGACACUUGGUCUUGGUCUUGGACUGGGACUUGGUCCUUGGUCUUAGUCUUGAACUUUUACUUUGAUCCUGGUCUUGCCAAAACAGAAGGAGGAAGAGCUGCUUCUAGGAGUGUUUCCGAUUUCAAGUCUUUGGAGAACAAAGGACAACCCUUCAAUCCUUCCUUGUGCUUCCUUAUCAGCUGGAGGGCAGUUUGGAGCAGAUUUGGUUAUCCCUGCUGUCUUGCUUCACUCUGCCAAUUAACCUGAUUGGUCAAAGUCCAAAGUAGGCAGGUACUUCUAUGGGAGUUAACCCUAAUCAUUAUUUGAGCUCUUCACUCAAAUGUUAGUUUCUGGCAAUUUUCAACAUCUACUAUCAGCUUCCAGAACUGUCUAAAGCCAACAGGCAAAUAAAGCUGGACAGAGAAAACA